This 2930-nucleotide ribosomal RNA is filed under the name Escherichia coli O157:H7. RNAcentral describes it as "23S ribosomal RNA". It matches the Rfam family "Bacterial large subunit ribosomal RNA". Lineage: Bacteria; Pseudomonadati; Pseudomonadota; Gammaproteobacteria; Enterobacterales; Enterobacteriaceae. The record is from RNAcentral.
GGGUUGUGAGGUUAAGCGACUAAGCGUACACGGUGGAUGCCCUGGCAGUCAGAGGCGAUGAAGGACGUGCUAAUCUGCGAUAAGCGUCGGUAAGGUGAUAUGAACCGUUAUAACCGGCGAUUUCCGAAUGGGGAAACCCAGUGUGAUUCGUCACACUAUCAUUAACUGAAUCCAUAGGUUAAUGAGGCGAACCGGGGGAACUGAAACAUCUAAGUACCCCGAGGAAAAGAAAUCAACCGAGAUUCCCCCAGUAGCGGCGAGCGAACGGGGAGGAGCCCAGAGCCUGAAUCAGUGUGUGUGUUAGUGGAAGCGUCUGGAAAGGCGCGCGAUACAGGGUGACAGCCCCGUACACAAAAAUGCACAUACUGUGAGCUCGAUGAGUAGGGCGGGACACGUGGUAUCCUGUCUGAAUAUGGGGGGACCAUCCUCCAAGGCUAAAUACUCCUGACUGACCGAUAGUGAACCAGUACCGUGAGGGAAAGGCGAAAAGAACCCCGGCGAGGGGAGUGAAAAAGAACCUGAAACCGUGUACGUACAAGCAGUGGGAGCCUCUUUUAUGGGGUGACUGCGUACCUUUUGUAUAAUGGGUCAGCGACUUAUAUUCUGUAGCAAGGUUAACCGAAUAGGGGAGCCGAAGGGAAACCGAGUCUUAACCGGGCGUUAAGUUGCAGGGUAUAGACCCGAAACCCGGUGAUCUAGCCAUGGGCAGGUUGAAGGUUGGGUAACACUAACUGGAGGACCGAACCGACUAAUGUUGAAAAAUUAGCGGAUGACUUGUGGCUGGGGGUGAAAGGCCAAUCAAACCGGGAGAUAGCUGGUUCUCCCCGAAAGCUAUUUAGGUAGCGCCUCGUGAAUUCAUCUCCGGGGGUAGAGCACUGUUUCGGCAAGGGGGUCAUCCCGACUUACCAACCCGAUGCAAACUGCGAAUACCGGAGAAUGUUAUCACGGGAGACACACGGCGGGUGCUAACGUCCGUCGUGAAGAGGGAAACAACCCAGACCGCCAGCUAAGGUCCCAAAGUCAUGGUUAAGUGGGAAACGAUGUGGGAAGGCCCAGACAGCCAGGAUGUUGGCUUAGAAGCAGCCAUCAUUUAAAGAAAGCGUAAUAGCUCACUGGUCGAGUCGGCCUGCGCGGAAGAUGUAACGGGGCUAAACCAUGCACCGAAGCUGCGGCAGCGACACUGUGUGUUGUUGGGUAGGGGAGCGUUCUGUAAGCCUGUGAAGGUGUACUGUGAGGUAUGCUGGAGGUAUCAGAAGUGCGAAUGCUGACAUAAGUAACGAUAAAGCGGGUGAAAAGCCCGCUCGCCGGAAGACCAAGGGUUCCUGUCCAACGUUAAUCGGGGCAGGGUGAGUCGACCCCUAAGGCGAGGCCGAAAGGCGUAGUCGAUGGGAAACAGGUUAAUAUUCCUGUACUUGGUGUUACUGCGAAGGGGGGACGGAGAAGGCUAUGUUGGCCGGGCGACGGUUGUCCCGGUUUAAGCGUGUAGGCUGGUUUUCUAGGCAAAUCCGGAAAAUCAAGGCUGAGGCGUGAUGACGAGGCACUACGGUGCUGAAGCAACAAAUGCCCUGCUUCCAGGAAAAGCCUCUAAGCAUCAGGUAACAUCAAAUCGUACCCCAAACCGACACAGGUGGUCAGGUAGAGAAUACCAAGGCGCUUGAGAGAACUCGGGUGAAGGAACUAGGCAAAAUGGUGCCGUAACUUCGGGAGAAGGCACGCUGAUAUGUAGGUGAAGUCCCUCGCGGAUGGAGCUGAAAUCAGUCGAAGAUACCAGCUGGCUGCAACUGUUUAUUAAAAACACAGCACUGUGCAAACACGAAAGUGGACGUAUACGGUGUGACGCCUGCCCGGUGCCGGAAGGUUAAUUGAUGGGGUCAGCGCAAGCGAAGCUCUUGAUCGAAGCCCCGGUAAACGGCGGCCGUAACUAUAACGGUCCUAAGGUAGCGAAAUUCCUUGUCGGGUAAGUUCCGACCUGCACGAAUGGCGUAAUGAUGGCCAGGCUGUCUCCACCCGAGACUCAGUGAAAUUGAACUCGCUGUGAAGAUGCAGUGUACCCGCGGCAAGACGGAAAGACCCCGUGAACCUUUACUAUAGCUUGACACUGAACAUUGAGCCUUGAUGUGUAGGAUAGGUGGGAGGCUUUGAAGUGUGGACGCCAGUCUGCAUGGAGCCGACCUUGAAAUACCACCCUUUAAUGUUUGAUGUUCUAACGUGGACCCGUGAUCCGGGUUGCGGACAGUGUCUGGUGGGUAGUUUGACUGGGGCGGUCUCCUCCUAAAGAGUAACGGAGGAGCACGAAGGUUGGCUAAUCCUGGUCGGACAUCAGGAGGUUAGUGCAAUGGCAUAAGCCAGCUUGACUGCGAGCGUGACGGCGCGAGCAGGUGCGAAAGCAGGUCAUAGUGAUCCGGUGGUUCUGAAUGGAAGGGCCAUCGCUCAACGGAUAAAAGGUACUCCGGGGAUAACAGGCUGAUACCGCCCAAGAGUUCAUAUCGACGGCGGUGUUUGGCACCUCGAUGUCGGCUCAUCACAUCCUGGGGCUGAAGUAGGUCCCAAGGGUAUGGCUGUUCGCCAUUUAAAGUGGUACGCGAGCUGGGUUUAGAACGUCGUGAGACAGUUCGGUCCCUAUCUGCCGUGGGCGCUGGAGAACUGAGGGGGGCUGCUCCUAGUACGAGAGGACCGGAGUGGACGCAUCACUGGUGUUCGGGUUGUCAUGCCAAUGGCACUGCCCGGUAGCUAAAUGCGGAAGAGAUAAGUGCUGAAAGCAUCUAAGCACGAAACUUGCCCCGAGAUGAGUUCUCCCUGACCCUUUAAGGGUCCUGAAGGAACGUUGAAGACGACGACGUUGAUAGGCCGGGUGUGUAAGCGCAGCGAUGCGUUGAGCUAACCGGUACUAAUGAACCGUGAGGCUUAACCUUACAACGCCGAAGGUGUUU